Molecule: ribosomal RNA, 433 nt
Filed under: uncultured bacterium
Lineage: Bacteria
Description: partial 16S ribosomal RNA
Rfam family: Bacterial small subunit ribosomal RNA
Source: RNAcentral
AACGAACGCUGGCGGCAUGCCUAACACAUGCAAGUCGAACGAGACCUUCGGGUCUAGUGGCGCCCGGGUGCGUAACGCGUGGGAACCUGCCCUUAGGUUCGGAAUAACUCCCCGAAAGGGGUGCUAAUACCGGAUAAUGUCUUCGGACCAAAGAUUUAUCGCCUUUGGAUGUGCCCGCGUUGGAUUAGCUAGUUGGUAGGGUAAAAGCCUACCAAGGCGACGAUCCAUAGCUGGUCUGAGAGGAUGAUCAGCCACACUGGGACUGAGACACGGCCCAGACUCCUACGGGAGGCAGCAGUGGGGAAUAGUGGACAAUGGGCGAAAGCCUGAUCCAGCAAUGCCGCGUGAGUGAUGAAGGCCUUAGGGUUGUAAAGCUCUUUUACCCGGGAUGAUAAUGACAGUACCGGGAGAAUAAGCUCCGGCUAACUCCGUG